Molecule: RNA transcript, 1309 nt
Organism: Micropterus dolomieu (smallmouth bass)
Lineage: Eukaryota; Metazoa; Chordata; Actinopteri; Centrarchiformes; Centrarchidae
Gene: dydc2
Gene name: DPY30 domain containing 2
Exons: 8
Source: RefSeq, a predicted model, not a curated record
CGCAUUAAUGACGUGACACCGUCACCACGGAGACACAACAACAACAUGCGGAUGCUGGGUGGAAAAGGAAAAUAAAACAUGGACUCUGAGUAUCUGAGAAGACAUCUGGGGAAAUGUCUGGCAGAGGGACUCGCUGAAGUGGCCGAGCAGCGCCCUGUAAACCCCAUCCUGUAUCUCGCCCACUGGCUGUACAAGUACAACGCAAAUGUAAAAUACGAGACGGAGAAAAAGGCCAAUUUGGCACAGCUGGAGCAGGAGCAGGCGAAAGCCAGAGAAGAGGCGUUGUACCAGGAAAGGCUGAGGGAGGAGGAGCGAAAGUUCAGUGAGGCCCUGGAAGAGUCUAAAAAAAUGGCCGAGAAGGAGCCUACAGGGUCUGAUGCACCCAUGCCAGCCACAACAGGAGCUGCUGAGGACAACAAACCCAUGACUGAAGAGAAACCAAACACCCCUGAUCCCGAAAACCAGCAGCGCACAGACGAACACCAAGCGGAAGCUCAGGAAAAGGACACUGAACAGGAGGUGAAGGUUACAGAUAAUCCAAGUGAGUCCAAUCCAGACUUUCCCUUUGGAGAGAAACAUCCUUUGGAGGCCGGUAGCUCUUCCCCCUCCGAAGCCCUCAGCACUGAGGUCAAAGAGGAGUCCACAGAAGUGCCUAUUGAAAAAAACGAAGUGGAGCCGAGGAGCGAUGGAGCAGAAGAGACAACUGAGGUGGAGCCAACUGACAAUCAUGUAGAAGAGAAAACAGGAAACACCAACCAAACAGAAGUGAAAGUUGACCAAGAUGAGGAUAAGGUGGUUGAUCAAGCUGACACGACAUACUCUCAGCAGACUGAAGCAUUACGCUCGACUCCCAGCCGAGACGCUGAUGACUUACAAACAGACAAAACAGAGGAGCGACACGACAAACAAAGCCCUCGUUCCCCUGACUCUAAACACACAGAGCUCAGGAGACAGACGGGCGGAUAGCUGGGUUCCAGUUGACAGUGACGUAACAGUAGAGGGGACAGUGUUGAAUGAGAGACACAAGGGGGAACCUGAAAUCGCUCCUCCUCACAUGGAAGACGUCCAGGAGAACAUAGACCCCUUUGUAGGCCAGUUGGCAGGAAGUGAAAAUGACAAACAUUAUUUAUGAUCUAUUUCAAAUGAGGAAACACUCCCACAAACAAAAGGAUGAAGAAAAAGAAGCAGAACAAACGUGAUCAAGUCAACGUUGUUUGGCAAUCCACUGAUCCAAUAUGAAGUUUAAAUAAUUUUAUGGCCUCAGCAUACAUGUAGUUUGGCAGAAAUAAACAUUUAUCACCAUUCAUUA